GGAUGAACGCUGGCGGCGUGCCUAAUACAUGCAAGUCGAGCGAACAGACGAGGAGCUUGCUCCUCUGACGUUAGCGGCGGACGGGUGAGUAACACGUGGAUAACCUACCUAUAAGACUGGGAUAACUUCGGGAAACCGGAGCUAAUACCGGAUAACAUGUUGAACCGCAUGGUUCAACAGUGAAAGACGGUCUUGCUGUCACUUAUAGAUGGAUCCGCGCCGCAUUAGCUAGUUGGUAAGGUAACGGCUUACCAAGGCAACGAUGCGUAGCCGACCUGAGAGGGUGAUCGGCCACACUGGAACUGAGACACGGUCCAGACUCCUACGGGAGGCAGCAGUAGGGAAUCUUCUGCAAUGGGCGAAAGCCUGACGGAGCAACGCCGCGUGAGUGAAGAAGGUCUUCGGAUCGUAAAACUCUGUUAUUAGGGAAGAACAAAUGUGUAAGUAACUAUGCACGUCUUGACGGUACCUAAUCAGAAAGCCACGGCUAACUACGUG
RNAcentral lists this ribosomal RNA (498 nucleotides) under uncultured bacterium. RNAcentral's name for it is "partial 16S ribosomal RNA". It matches the Rfam family "Bacterial small subunit ribosomal RNA", at positions 27 to 507 of the family's 1533-position model. The record is from RNAcentral.